Molecule: long non-coding RNA, 458 nt
Organism: Homo sapiens (human)
Lineage: Eukaryota; Metazoa; Chordata; Mammalia; Primates; Hominidae
Source: Ensembl
AUCUCUUCGGCAGUGGCUCUUUGACCUUUUGUCUGCUUAUCUUAUUACCAGACAAAUUUGCGCUGCCCUUUUAAAACCAUCUUCUAAUAACAAAACUAAGUACUACAACUAGCUCACAAGGGUAAAAUCACAAAUCAGAUUUGUUUAGCAGCAGUGUCCUUGAAAUGGGUAAAUUUCCACUGUGAAAGAAACUCUUUGUCCCCAUCAAGAUCCUUUUUACAUUUUGAUUAAUACCUUACCUAAAUAUCCAGAACAAAGGCAGAAGUGAAGACGUCCGUGAAUGCUUGCAUGAAACAUUCUCAGCUCCUUCAGGUACCUUCUCAUGUGAUUUACAAUGACCCAGAAAUAUUCUCAUUCCUUGCCCUUCAACAUUCUUCAAUUUGAUUAAAAGACCUCCAAAGAGACAAGAGUUUCACCAUGUUACCUAGGCUGCUUUCAAACUCCUGGACUCAAGUGAU